UACGUAGGGUGCAAGCGUUAAUCGGAAUUACUGGGCGUAAAGCGUGCGCAGGCGGCUUUGCAAGACAGAUGUGAAAUCCCCGGGCUCAACCUGGGAACUGCAUUUGUGACUGCAUGGCUGGAGUGCGGCAGAGGGGGAUGGAAUUCCGCGUGUAGCAGUGAAAUGCGUAGAUAUGCGGAGGAACACCGAUGGCGAAGGCGGCAUCCUGGACCGACACUGACGCUGAGGCGCGAAAGCCAGGGGAGCAAACGGG
Molecule: ribosomal RNA, 253 nt
Filed under: uncultured bacterium
Lineage: Bacteria
Description: partial 16S ribosomal RNA
Rfam family: Bacterial small subunit ribosomal RNA
Source: RNAcentral